AGAAGUUGGCGUUUGCUUAAUUUAAAUGGUGAAGUUGUUGUCGAACGACCGGCGUCAGUUUGAAAAGUUUAUCAACAACAUCACUGAAAGUUAAACAUGUCUGUGCCCCGAUAUGACGCUGUUUGUCAAAGCAAAUUAAUAUUAUCAUCGUUACUGCGGACUGAAGGCCGCACACCGGGGAAACGACACCUGGCAGCCAUGACCGCGAACAGGGCGGCACCUGCUCAACGCCGACAGGUAACCGACCAAAGGCCAGGCGGACAUGUUGGAAGCUAACGGUGAAGCUAAAGAGAAGUCGGACUAAAGCUAACAGCACCCUGUCAGCUCUCCAGCAGAUUUUCAGAGAGGGAGGAGAAGGGAGAGAAAAAAAAGAAGAGAAAUGACUGUGCAAGGGUUUCACAACCAGAUUUGCUUCUCAUGCAGUGGCCUCAUGGUGGUGGUGAAGCUCCUUCAGUGGUGAGUACCCUACUGCAGACCCAGAAAACAACUUCUUAAAAUUCUCUGAAGAAGUUGUCAAAAAAAAUUCUGCAUACUACAGUAGAGAUGAAA
Long non-coding RNA from Lates calcarifer (barramundi perch), 549 nucleotides. RefSeq lists it as uncharacterized. The record is from RefSeq and is a predicted model, not a curated record. The transcript is spliced from 3 exons. Lineage: Eukaryota; Metazoa; Chordata; Actinopteri; Centropomidae.